Molecule: RNA transcript, 3062 nt
Organism: Pieris rapae (cabbage white)
Lineage: Eukaryota; Metazoa; Arthropoda; Insecta; Lepidoptera; Pieridae
Exons: 2
Source: RefSeq, a predicted model, not a curated record
UAACAAGAUCCGUAAGUUUAUCAAUUUACUAGGAAGUUUAUAAACUUUCGUAAGAUUCUAAACGGGAGAUAAAUUGUAAUAUUUUACGUCCACAUUUUCGUAAAUUGAUAAACUUACUGAACUCACUCGUAAAAUAAUACGUAAGCAGUAACAAAACGCUACGCGCGAUCUGAUUGGUUGGCGGUCACGUGUCACUUCUCCUUCCUCGCGGCCGCCAUUACUGGCCACGGAACAUAAACAAACCGCGUUUUUAUUAGUUUUGAAUGUUGAACUGUGUUGCAACUGUGAAAAAUAGCUUUAUUUUGUUAAGAUUAUCUAGCAGUACCCAUAAUGAGUGAUUUACAAGCUGCGGACACCCAAAAUGAAGGAGAUAGUGUGGUAAAUGCUAGAACAUUUGUUGACGAAGUAAAAUUUAACACAGAGCUAAGAAAGUUUUAUAGUGGGCAUAACCAAAAUAGUAAGAAAUCGGAAUGGACAGACGAAAAAAUUAAAAAUGUUAUUAAAAUGAUAGAAAAUUAUAAUAAAGCUAAAGUUUUGGGACGUCGGCCCGCAGACAAAGAAUACUAUCACGCCAAAAAGUAUGACGUAAUGACUUUUAGUGACGAAAAAGUUUUGAUAUUAAAAAGGAAAUCUCAGCAGGAUCCAGUGAUACAAGUAGUUCCAAGCAGUAAGUACUACCAAACAAUCCUUGAUGCGCAUGUUGCUACAGGUCACGGAAGGCGUGACAAAAUUAUUUAUGACUUGAAAGACAAGUACAUGGUUCCAGUGUUUGCCAUAAAUAUUUUUCUUCAAUUGUGCAAAACUUGCCUUUCCAAGAAAAGUUUUCCUAAAACUGGGAUAGUCGUGGAACCACUAAUUACAGAUGACUUUAAUAGAAGAGGACAGAUAGAUCUGGUGGCUUUUCAAUCAUCUCCAGAUGGAGAGUACAAAUGGAUGUUACAGUACCAAGAUCAUUUGACCAAAUUUUGUUUUUUGCGGCCACUCAAAAGCAAAGAAGCGAAAGAAGUAGCAAUUGAAAUUUUAAAGAUAUUUUUAGAAGUUGGUUGUCCCAAUAUUCUCCAAAGCGACAAUGGACGUGAGUUUACGGCAUCAAUAUUGAAAGAAAUUGUGAGCUUAUGGCCAGCAUGCAAAAUUGUUAAUGGAAGACCUAGAUAUCCCCAAAGCCAGGGAAGUGUAGAACGUUCAAACCAAGAUGUGAAAAAUAUGAUUCGUGCUUGGAUGGUGGAUAAUAAUUCCAAUCAAUGGUCGAUAGGUUGUUACUUUGCUCAGUUCUAAAAAAAUUCAUCAUACCAUUCUACGAUUGGCAGGACACCGUUUAAAGCCCUGUUUGGAGAUGAUCCAAGAUGCGGUCUAACUUCUACAUAUUUGUCCAAGAAUAUAAUUUCUCAACUUGAAAUGGAAGAGGAUUUAGAGACGUUUUUAAAAUCUGUAAAUGACAACGAACAUAAGACCGUCAAUGACGAUGGAAAUAUAACUUCAGAUAAAGAAAACCUUUGUAAAACUCUUGAUAUUGCCACAGAGUCAAUUAUUACGACAGAUAAUAUUUCUGAAACUGAGCAAGUCAAAGUACUUGUAGUUGACAGUGAAAGCACGGGCGCAAACACAAACAAUAUUUGGCAAGACCUUGACAACAUUGCAAAUGGAAUUGAGACUCCUCAAAAAAUUGUCGAAUCAGAUACGUUGCUUUGUCACAUAUGCAACAAUGAAUCAUCUGGGGCUCAUACAUGUAUUAAAUGUCAACGUAUCACACACGUUAUCUGUGGAGAACCAACAGAAAAUAAUGACGAAGGUUAUGGUUCGCAGUUAAUAUGUAAAUUGUGCACAAACGAAAUAAACAUUUUGAGGGAAAGGAAGGACUCGCACUUAAAUUUAAAAAGAGCAGCAGAAAAAAUGACAGCACAUUCUUCUAAAAAGUUCAAAAAUAUUGAUGUUGGUGCUACUGUAUUAGUCGAAGUACCGAGAGUAGAUAGGGGGCCUCUAGAUAGCAAGAAUGUAGUCGGCAAAGUAAUAGAGAAAAAGAAUGAACUUUACAAAGUUGGCACUUCGUUCGGCAUCAUUAAUGACUGGUUGCCUCGAAACGCUGUCCUUUCAACCCCAGGAGAAAUUUUGAAUGAAACUCUUCCUGAGACUAAGUUACCAUUAAGAAAAAUAUCUGCGAUGUCUCCUACAUUUGGCGGGAAAGGAAUAAAGCAAUGCAACUGCAAAAAAUAUUCUAAGGGACAGUGUUUAUCAAAUAAGUGCAAUUGUAAAAAAGCUAAUAUAUUGUGCAAUUCAAGGUGCCAUAAAUCUUUGACUUGUGCCAAUAAGUAGAUAAUUGGUAAUAAGUACUUAUAUAAUUUUUACUUAUUUUUACUAUAUGUUUUUUAAGUCAUGGUAAGACUAAAUUGAAUAAUUACGAACGAGUUACUAAUUAUUGAAUUAUUUAACUACGACUGAGUAGGUGUGUAUGACACGGACGAAAAAACCAUAAUUCUUUUAGUUUUUUUUUUGCAAAAACUGGUAUGUUUUAUAUUUUUUUGAUAAUAAAUGCCUUUCGUAUUACACAAUUUCUGUCGUUUUAUUUAAAUAGAGCAAAGUAGUGUUCAUUAGUGUGUUUUAUAAGAGUAUUCCUGUAUUUUAGCAAGUAACUUAUUUAACAGUUACUUGCUAAAAUACAGGAAUACUCUUAUUGAAACUGAUAAUAGAAAACUCAACUCACUACAUCCGUGCCAGAGAGGAACCAGGCAUUGUUGCUUCCAAUUUAUAGUUUGUCAAGUCUGAUUAUUCCAAAGUCUAUGGACACAAGCAUUGCCACUAUGAACAUUGACCAAUCAGAGAGCAGUGUGUUAUUUUACGUAUUUCAAAACUCGUAUAUUUAAAAGAGUUUCUGUGAUUGGUCGAACCAUAUAAAAUCUUACGAAUAGAUAUUCGUAAGUUUAUAAAUUUACCGUAUGACGUCGGAAAUUGAUAAAUUUACGAAAAUGUGGACGUAAAAUAUUACAAUUUAUCUCCCGUUUAGAAUCUUACGAAAGUUUAUAAACUUCCUAGUAAAUUGAUAAACUUACGGAUCUUGUUAUUUUCCG